GCAGGAUGUAGCUCAAACAGAGCGUUGGUCUUGUAAACCAAAGGUUAGAUUUAGUUAUCUCACCUGCU
RNAcentral lists this transfer RNA (68 nucleotides) under Pirenella pupiformis. RNAcentral describes it as "tRNA-Thr". It matches the Rfam family "tRNA". Rfam says of the family: Transfer RNA (tRNA) molecules are approximately 80 nucleotides in length. Their secondary structure includes four short double-helical elements and three loops (D, anti-codon, and T loops). The record is from RNAcentral. Lineage: Eukaryota; Metazoa; Mollusca; Gastropoda; Potamididae.